This 274-nucleotide ribosomal RNA is filed under the name uncultured bacterium. RNAcentral's name for it is "partial 16S ribosomal RNA". It matches the Rfam family "Bacterial small subunit ribosomal RNA", at positions 216 to 504 of the family's 1533-position model. The record is from RNAcentral.
UGGUACAGGAUGGUCCCGCGUCUGAUUAGCCAGUUGGCAGGGUAACGGCCUACCAAAGCGACGAUCAGUAGCCGGCCUGAGAGGGUGGACGGCCACAUUGGGACUGAGACACGGCCCAAACUCCUACGGGAGGCAGCAGUGGGGAAUAUUGCACAAUGGGGGAAACCCUGAUGCAGCGACGCCGCGUGAGUGAAGAAGUAUUUCGGUAUGUAAACUUCUACCCUCAGCAGGGAAGAAGAUGACGGUACCUGACUAAGAAGCACCGGCUAAAUAC